UCAAGUGUCCUGUGAAAGCGAAAAGGAAA
This 29-nucleotide non-coding RNA is filed under the name Mus musculus (house mouse). The record is from RNAcentral. Lineage: Eukaryota; Metazoa; Chordata; Mammalia; Rodentia; Muridae.